Molecule: small nuclear RNA, 105 nt
Filed under: Octodon degus (degu)
Lineage: Eukaryota; Metazoa; Chordata; Mammalia; Rodentia; Octodontidae
Source: RNAcentral
GUGCUCACUUUGGCAACAUAUACUAAAAUUGGAAUGACACAGAGAAGAUUAGCAUGGCCCCUGCCCAAGGAUGACAUGCAAAUUCGUGAAGCCUUCCAUAUUUUU